AUUGAACGCUGGCGGCAGGCUUAACACAUGCAAGUCGAGCGGGGAAGGGUAGCUUGCUACUGACCUAGCGGCGGACGGGUGAGUAAUGCUUAGGAAUCUGCCUAUUAGUGGGGGACAACAUUCCGAAAGGAAUGCUAAUACCGCAUACGCCCUACGGGGGAAAGCAGGGGAUCUUCGGACCUUGCGCUAAUAGAUGAGCCUAAGUCAGAUUAGCUAGUUGGUGGGGUAAAGGCCUACCAAGGCGACGAUCUGUAGCGGGUCUGAGAGGAUGAUCCGCCACACUGGGACUGAGACACGGCCCAGACUCCUACGGGAGGCAGCAGUGGGGAAUAUUGGACAAUGGGCGCAAGCCUGAUCCAGCCAUGCCGCGUGUGUGAAGAAGGCCUUUUGGUUGCAAAGCACUUUAAGCGAGGAGGAGGCUACUUGGAUUAAUACUCUAGGAUAGUGGACGUUACUCGCAGAAUAAGCACCGGCUAACUCUGUGCCAGCAGCCGCGGUAAUACAGAGGGUGCGAGCGUUAAUCGGAUUUACUGGGCGUAAAGCGUGCGUAGGCGGCUUUUUAAGUCGGAUGUGAAAUCCCUGAGCUUAACUUAGGAAUUGCAUUCGAUACUGGGAAGCUAGAGUAUGGGAGAGGAUGGUAGAAUUCCAGGUGUAGCGGUGAAAUGCGUAGAGAUCUGGAGGAAUACCGAUGGCGAAGGCAGCCAUCUGGCCUAAUACUGACGCUGAGGUACGAAAGCAUGGGGAGCAAACAGG
RNAcentral lists this ribosomal RNA (753 nucleotides) under uncultured Acinetobacter sp. RNAcentral's name for it is "bacterial SSU rRNA". It matches the Rfam family "Bacterial small subunit ribosomal RNA", at positions 28 to 776 of the family's 1533-position model. The record is from RNAcentral. Lineage: Bacteria; Pseudomonadati; Pseudomonadota; Gammaproteobacteria; Moraxellales; Moraxellaceae.